AUUGAACGCUGGCGGCAUGCCUUACACAUGCAAGUCGAACGGUAGCAGGUUAAGCUGACGAGUGGCGAACGGGUGAGUAAUACAUCGGAACGUGCCCAGUAGUGGGGGAUAGCCCGGCGAAAGCCGGAUUAAUACCGCAUACGACCUAAGGGUGAAAGGGGGGGAUCGCAAGACCUCUCGCUAUUGGAGCGGCCGAUGUCAGAUUAGCUAGUUGGUGGGGUAAAAGCUCACCAAGGCGACGAUCUGUAGCUGGUCUGAGAGGACGACCAGCCACACUGGGACUGAGACACGGCCCAGACUCCUACGGGAGGCAGCAGUGGGGAAUUUUGGACAAUGGGCGCAAGCCUGAUCCAGCCAUGCCGCGUGCGGGAAGAAGGCCUUCGGGUUGUAAACCGCUUUUGUCAGGGAAGAAAUCCUUUGGGUUAAUACCUCGGGGGGAUGACGGUACCUGAAGAAUAAGCACCGGCUAACUACGUG
Molecule: ribosomal RNA, 477 nt
Filed under: uncultured bacterium
Lineage: Bacteria
Description: partial 16S ribosomal RNA
Rfam family: Bacterial small subunit ribosomal RNA
Source: RNAcentral